UGCGCAGGCGGGCUUGUAAGUCAGUGGUGAAAAUACUGCCGCUUAACGGUAGAACUGCCAUUGAAUACUGCGAGUCUUGAGUAUGGUUGAGGUAGGCGGAAUGUGUUGUGUAGCGGUGAAAUGCAUAGAUAUGACACAGAACACCGAUUGCGAAGGCAGCUUACUAAGCCAUUACUGACGCUGAGGACACGAAAGCGUGGGAGCGAACA
RNAcentral lists this ribosomal RNA (209 nucleotides) under uncultured bacterium. RNAcentral's name for it is "partial 16S ribosomal RNA". It matches the Rfam family "Bacterial small subunit ribosomal RNA", at positions 568 to 774 of the family's 1533-position model. The record is from RNAcentral.